CCCUUAGAUGUUCUGGGCCGCACGCGCGCUACACUGACGAAGUCAGCGAGCAUGUCCUACGCCGACAGGUGCGGGGAAUCUUGUCAAACUUCGUCGUGAUGGGGAUUGAUUAUUGAAAUUCUUGAUCAUCAACGAGGAAUUCCUAGUAAGCGCAAGUCAGCAGCUUGCGUUGAUUACGUCCCUGCCCUUUGUACACACCGCCCGUCGCUACUACCGAUUGAAUGGUUUAGUGAGAUCUUCGGAUUGGCGCCACUGCGGCUCAGCAAUGGGCUCGGUGGAUGCCGAAAAGUUGAUCAAACUUGAUCAUUUAGAGGAAGUAAAAGUCGUAAC
Molecule: ribosomal RNA, 330 nt
Filed under: uncultured eukaryote
Lineage: Eukaryota
Description: partial 18S ribosomal RNA
Rfam family: Eukaryotic small subunit ribosomal RNA
Source: RNAcentral